GAUGAAGAACGUAGCGAAAUGCGAUAAGUAAUGUGAAUUGCAGAAUUCAGUGAAUCAUCGAAUCUUUGAACGCACAUUGCGCCCCUUGGUAUUCCGAGGGGCAUGCCUGUUCGAGCGUCAUAUUAACCACUCCCGCUUGCGGGGUCUUGGGCUUCGCCUCCGGGCGGGCCUUAAAAUCAGUGGCGGUGCCGUCGGGCUCUACGCGUAGUAAAUUUUCUCGCGAUAGGGUCCCGGUGGAUGCUUGCCAACAACCCCCAACUUCUUAAGGUUGACCUCGGAUCAGGUAGGGAUACCCGCUGAACUUAAGCAUAUCAAUAAGCGGAGA
RNAcentral lists this unclassified non-coding RNA (325 nucleotides) under soil metagenome. Its description in RNAcentral is "partial contains 5.8S ribosomal RNA, internal transcribed spacer 2, and large subunit ribosomal RNA". The stretch from base 1 to 120 matches the Rfam family "5.8S ribosomal RNA", at positions 35 to 154 of the family's 154-position model. The record is from RNAcentral.